GGUCGCGUAGCUCAGCUGGAUAGAGCAUCUGCCUUCUAAGCAGACGGUCGCAGGUUCGAAUCCUGCCGCGAUCA
This 74-nucleotide transfer RNA is filed under the name Allomuricauda sp. It matches the Rfam family "tRNA". From Rfam's summary of the family: Transfer RNA (tRNA) molecules are approximately 80 nucleotides in length. Their secondary structure includes four short double-helical elements and three loops (D, anti-codon, and T loops). RNAcentral also lists the same sequence under 19 other names. Lineage: Bacteria; Pseudomonadati; Bacteroidota; Flavobacteriia; Flavobacteriales; Flavobacteriaceae. The record is from Rfam by way of RNAcentral.